This 1390-nucleotide ribosomal RNA is filed under the name Citrobacter koseri. Its description in RNAcentral is "bacterial SSU rRNA". It matches the Rfam family "Bacterial small subunit ribosomal RNA". The record is from RNAcentral. Lineage: Bacteria; Pseudomonadati; Pseudomonadota; Gammaproteobacteria; Enterobacterales; Enterobacteriaceae.
CAGUCGACGGUAACAGGAAGCAGCUUGCUGCUUUGCUGACGAGUGGCGGACGGGUGAGUAAUGUCUGGGAAACUGCCUGAUGGAGGGGGAUAACUACUGGAAACGGUAGCUAAUACCGCAUAACGUCGCAAGACCAAAGAGGGGGACCUUCGGGCCUCUUGCCAUCAGAUGUGCCCAGAUGGGAUUAGCUAGUUGGUGGGGUAACGGCUCACCAAGGCGACGAUCCCUAGCUGGUCUGAAAGGAUGACCAGCCACACUGGAACUGAGACACGGUCCAGACUCCUACGGGAGGCAGCAGUGGGGAAUAUUGCACAAUGGGCGCAAGCCUGAUGCAGCCAUGCCGCGUGUAUGAAGAAGGCCUUCGGGUUGUAAAGUACUUUCAGCGGGGAGGAAGGUGUUGUGGUUAAUAACCACAGCAAUUGACGUUACCCGCAGAAGAAGCACCGGCUAACUCCGUGCCAGCAGCCGCGGUAAUACGGAGGGUGCAAGCGUUAAUCGGAAUUACUGGGCGUAAAGCGCACGCAGGCGGUCUGUUAAGUCAGAUGUGAAAUCCCCGGGCUCAACCUGGGAACUGCAUCUGAUACUGGCAGGCUUGAGUCUCGUAGAGGGGGGUAGAAUUCCAGGUGUAGCGGUGAAAUGCGUAGAGAUCUGGAGGAAUACCGGUGGCGAAGGCGGCCCCCUGGACGAAGACUGACGCUCAGGUGCGAAAGCGUGGGGGAGCAAACAGGAUUAGAUACCCUGGUAGUCCACGCCGUAAACGAUGUCGACUUGGAGGUUGUGCCCUUGAGGCGUCGCUUCCGGAGCUAACGCGUUAAGUCGACCGCCUGGGGAGUACGGCCGCAAGGUUAAAACUCAAAUGAAUUGACGGGGGCCCGCACAAGCGGUGGAGCAUGUGGUUUAAUUCGAUGCAACGCGAAGAACCUUACCUGGUCUUGACAUCCACGGAAGUUUUCAGAGAUGAGAAUGUGCCUUCGGGAACCGUGAGACAGGUGCUGCAUGGCUGUCGUCAGCUCGUGUUGUGAAAUGUUGGGUUAAGUCCCGCAACGAGCGCAACCCUUAUCCUUUGUUGCCAGCGGUUAGGCCGGGAACUCAAAGGAGACUGCCAGUGAUAAACUGGAGGAAGGUGGGGAUGACGUCAAGUCAUCAUGGCCCUUACGACCAGGGCUACACACGUGCUACAAUGGCAUAUACAAAGAGAAGCGACCUCGCGAGAGCAAGCGGACCUCAUAAAGUAUGUCGUAGUCCGGAUUGGAGUCUGCAACUCGACUCCAUGAAGUCGGAAUCGCUAGUAAUCGUGGAUCAGAAUGCCACGGUGAAUACGUUCCCGGGCCUUGUACACACCGCCCGUCACACCAUGGGAGUGGGUUGCAAAAGAAGUAGGUAGCUUAAC